GGCGUGUGGUUUAAUUCGUUGCUACACGAAGAACCUUACCUGGGUUUGACAUAUAGGUUGUAGGGAACUGAAAAGGGACCGACCCUUCGGGGAGCCUAUACAGGUGUUGCAUGGCUGUCGUCAGCUCGUGUCGUGAGAUGUUCGGUUAAGUCCGCUAACGAGCGCAACCCUCGUCGUAUGUUAUAUGUGUCAUACGAGACUGCCGGUAAAAGCCGGAGGAAGGUGAGGAUGAUGUCAAGUCAGCAUGACCUUUAUAUCCAGGGCUACACACACGCUACAAUGGUCUGUACAAUGGGUAGCCAAGCCGCGAGGCGGAGCCAAUCCUGAAAGCAGGCCUCAGUUCAGAUUGCAGUCUGCAACUCGACUGCAUGAAGCCGGAGUUGCUAGUAACCGCAGGUCAGCAAUACUGCGGUGAAUACGUUCCCGGGUCUU
RNAcentral lists this ribosomal RNA (432 nucleotides) under uncultured Anaerolineaceae bacterium. RNAcentral describes it as "bacterial SSU rRNA". It matches the Rfam family "Bacterial small subunit ribosomal RNA", at positions 936 to 1382 of the family's 1533-position model. The record is from RNAcentral. Lineage: Bacteria; Bacillati; Chloroflexota; Anaerolineae; Anaerolineales; Anaerolineaceae.